RNAcentral lists this ribosomal RNA (577 nucleotides) under uncultured bacterium. RNAcentral's name for it is "bacterial SSU rRNA". It matches the Rfam family "Bacterial small subunit ribosomal RNA", at positions 35 to 645 of the family's 1533-position model. The record is from RNAcentral.
GCUGGCGGCGUGCCUAACACAUGCAAGUCGAACGAGAAAGUGGAGCAAUCCAUGAGUACAGUGGCGUACGGGUGAGUAACACGUGACUAACCUACCUCCGAGUGGGGAAUAACCCCGGGAAACCGGGGCUAACACCGCAUAACACCGCAAGGUCAAAUGCGCAAGCAGCUUGGAGAGGGGUCGCGGUUGAUUAGCUAGUUGGUGAGGUAAUGGCUCACCAAGGCGAUGAUCAAUAGCCGGCCUGAGAGGGCGCACGGCCACACUGGAACUGAAACACGGUCCAGACUCCUACGGGAGGCAGCAGUGGGGAAUUUUGCGCAAUGGGGGAAACCCUGACGCAGCAACGCCGCGUGGAGGAUGAAGUCCUUUGGGAUGUAAACUCCUUUCGAUCGGGACGAUAAUGACGGUACCGGAAGAAGAAGCCCCGGCUAACUCUGUGCCAGCAGCCGCGGUAAUACAGAGGGGGCAAGCGUUGUUCGGAAUUAUUGGGCGUAAAGGGCGCGUANGCGGUGCGGUAAGUCACCUGUGAAAUCUCUGGGCUCAACUCAGAGUCUGCAGGCGAAACUGCCGUGCUUGA